UCAUGGAAGCUGGUAACACCUGAAGCCGGUGGACCAACUGCUCGCAAGAGUGGAGGUAGCUGUCGAGGGUGGGAUUAGUGACUGGGACG
Molecule: ribosomal RNA, 89 nt
Filed under: uncultured bacterium
Lineage: Bacteria
Description: partial 16S ribosomal RNA
Source: RNAcentral